RNAcentral lists this ribosomal RNA (281 nucleotides) under uncultured Staphylococcus sp. RNAcentral's name for it is "partial 16S ribosomal RNA". It matches the Rfam family "Bacterial small subunit ribosomal RNA", at positions 81 to 354 of the family's 1533-position model. The record is from RNAcentral. Lineage: Bacteria; Bacillati; Bacillota; Bacilli; Caryophanales; Staphylococcaceae.
CUCCUUUGACGUUAGCGGCGGACGGGUGAGUAACACGUGGGUAACCUACCUAUAAGACUGGGAUAACUUCGGGAAACCGGAGCUAAUACCGGAUAAUAUUUCGAACCGCAUGGUUCGAUAGUGAAAGGUGGUUUUGCUAUCACUUAUAGAUGGACCCGCGCCGUAUUAGCUAGUUGGUAGGGUAACGGCUUACCAAGGCGACGAUACGUAGCCGACCUGAGAGGGUGAUCGGCCACACUGGAACUGAGACACGGUCCAGACUCCUACGGGAGGCAGCAGGC